Molecule: long non-coding RNA, 668 nt
Filed under: Elaeis guineensis (African oil palm)
Lineage: Eukaryota; Viridiplantae; Streptophyta; Magnoliopsida; Arecales; Arecaceae
Description: long non-coding RNA (EGUI_LNC068269)
Source: RNAcentral
GGGACCAGAUCGAAUUAGCUCUGGUUCAAGGAGCCUAGCCUUCUUUCGUAGCCAAGGGCGUUAAGGCUCUCCUUCAGAGAUGGAGAGAAAGGGCUGGUAUAGAAUCCGAUCUUUCUCUUUGAACGAAUCCGGUGCUAGUCUUUACUGCCCUCCUCCCUCCCUAGCUACUUUCAUACCAGUCAAUCUCACAUCAGGAAGAGCCUUUGGUUCUGUGAUCAGAUCAGCCAAGCCAAGAAGAAUCGUUGAAGAAAAGAAUAAGAAGAAUCCAUUGUUGGAGUUGGAGGAAUACGCGAUGCUAGAAUGGCUAUUUCUUUGAGAGCUAGUAGAAGGGCUUGAUCCCUUUCGAGCUAACUUAACUGCCAACAAGAGAAAGAAAUAGCAAGUACUACUCUUUCUCCCUCUCGACACGAGAAAGCUUGAGUUUUGUUUCUAGCUAAGACACUAAGAGUGAUUGAUGUCAUACCAGUAGCCCUUCUUCCAACAAAGGUUAUUCUGCCUGCGGGUUCUGGAACAACUCCUUCUAUAGCUGCUGAUUCGUGAUCUCGACAAAUCUUUUUCGAAAGGCUAGCAGCUGAGUCUGUAACCUAUCUCAAAGAGAAGGCUUUGAAUGUCAUAUGACUCCAUCAAGAAAGUGGGGUGGGAUAGCGCUUUCAUCCUAGCUACGAUNN